Molecule: ribosomal RNA, 18 nt
Filed under: Globisporangium glomeratum
Lineage: Eukaryota; Oomycota; Peronosporomycetes; Pythiales; Pythiaceae
Also listed under: 4 other names
Description: Pythium glomeratum partial 28S ribosomal RNA
Source: RNAcentral
UUGGACCUGAUAUCAGAC